RNAcentral lists this ribosomal RNA (558 nucleotides) under Hansenula anomala. RNAcentral's name for it is "Wickerhamomyces anomalus partial 26S ribosomal RNA". It matches the Rfam family "Eukaryotic large subunit ribosomal RNA", at positions 88 to 661 of the family's 3401-position model. Lineage: Eukaryota; Fungi; Ascomycota; Saccharomycetes; Phaffomycetales; Wickerhamomycetaceae. The record is from RNAcentral.
GGCGAGUGAGCGGCAAAGCUCAAAUUUGAAAUCUACCACCUUCUGUGUUCGAGUUGUAAUUUGAAGAUGGUAACCUUGGAUUUGGCUCUUGUCUAUGUUCCUUGGAACAAGACGUCAUAGAGGGUGAGAAUCCCGUCUGAUGAAAUGCCCUUUCCUAUGUAAGGUGCUAUCGAAGAGUCGAGUUGUUUGGGAAUGCAAUUCUAAGUGGGUGGUAAAUUCCAUCUAAAGCUAAAUAUUGGCGAGAGACCGAUAGCGAACAUGUACAGUGAUGGAAAGAUGAAAAGAACUUUUAAAAGAAAGUGAAAAAGUACGUGAAAUUGUUGAAAGGGAAGGGCAUUAGAUCAGACUUGGUGUUUUACGAUUAUCUUCUCUUCUUGAGUUGUGCACUCGUAUUUCACUGGGCCAGCAUCGAUUCGGAUGGCAAGAUAAUGGCAGUUGAAUGUGGCUUCACUUCGGUGGAGUGUUAUAGCUUCUGCUGAUAUUGCCUGUCUGGAUCGAGGGCUGCGUCUUUUGACUAGGAUGCUGGCGUAAUGAUCUAAUGCCGCCCGUCUUGAAACA